Molecule: long non-coding RNA, 735 nt
Organism: Ctenopharyngodon idella (grass carp)
Lineage: Eukaryota; Metazoa; Chordata; Actinopteri; Cypriniformes; Xenocyprididae
Exons: 3
Source: RefSeq, a predicted model, not a curated record
UUUAUAAAGGAGAGAUGCACAUAUAGAGCUGCUAGAUGUUCCUGAAUGCUCAGAUGAACAAAGCAGAAGACUUUCCCCUGAUACAAGCCCAACUCCUCUCUGAAGAUCUGAGUGCACAAUCCUGAGUACACUGAUGCUUCUGUCACAUCAAUGCCACACUCUCUCAGGUCUUCCUCAUAGAAGAUCAGGUUGCCUUUCACAAGCUGCUGAAAAGCCACUUUCCCCAGUUUGAGGAUCAUGUCUUCAUCUUUCACUUUCUUCUCAUAGUCCUUCUCAUGUUUGAUGUUGGUCUGAAUGAUCAGGAAGUGUGUGUACAUUUGAGUGAGAGUCUUGGGAAUCUCUCCACUCUCUGCUUCACUCAACAUCUUCUCUAGAACAGUGGCUGAGAUCCAGCAGAACACUGGGAUGUGACACAUAAUAAAGAGGCUCCUUGAUGACUUCAGGUGUGAGAUGAUCCUGUCGGCCAGACUCUGAUCUCUGAUUCUCUUCCUGAAGUAUUCCUCCUUCUGUGGGUCACUGAAUCCUCGUACCUCUGUCACUCGAUGGACACACUCAGAGGGGACGAGAUCAGCUGCUGCUGGUCUGGAGGUGAUCCAGAUGAGAGCAGAGGGAAGCAGAUUCCCCACAAUGAGGUUCGUCAGCAGCACGUCCACUGAGGCUGAUUCAGUCACAUCACACAACCUCACAUCGCUCUGAAAAUCCAGAGACAGACGACACUCAUCCAGACCAUCAAAG